RNAcentral lists this ribosomal RNA (456 nucleotides) under uncultured bacterium. RNAcentral describes it as "bacterial LSU rRNA". It matches the Rfam family "Archaeal large subunit ribosomal RNA", at positions 983 to 1434 of the family's 2987-position model. The record is from RNAcentral.
AGAGAUACUAAUUGGUGUUUUGGGGGGAUUCGUCCCUUCAUACAUCAGUUAAACUCCGAAUCCUACAAUUUCGUAGAAGCAGGGAAACGGGAUUGCACGGGGUAAGCUUGCAAUCCGUGAGGGGAACAACCCAGACUGUAGUUAAGGUCCCUAAAUGCCAACCAAGUGAUAAAGGGUAAAGGGUGUGAGUAUUCGAAGACAAAGAGGAGGUUUGCUUAGAAGCAGCAAUCCUUUAAAGAGUGCGUAACAGCUCACUCUUCGAGAGUAUUUGCCCCGAAGAUAAUCGGGUCUAAGUUGGCUACCGAUACUAUGGUUCAUGAGCAAGGCUCAUGUAAGGUAGACUGGUGCAGUGCGAGGGUAGAAGCAAGUCUUAAAGGAUUUGUGGACCUCGUAGUGAUAAGAAUCCUGGUGGUAGUAGGAAAAUAGCGGUGUGAGAGUCACCGCGGACGAAAGGGC